Molecule: long non-coding RNA, 535 nt
Filed under: Salmo salar (Atlantic salmon)
Lineage: Eukaryota; Metazoa; Chordata; Actinopteri; Salmoniformes; Salmonidae
Description: lncRNA (ENSSSAG00000110666.1, ENSSSAG00075060253.1)
Source: RNAcentral
AAAAGAUUUAGAUGCACUAUUGUAAAGUGGUUGUUCCACUGGAUAUCAUAAGGCAGAGCAGGCAACAGAUGGCACACAAACAGCAGAGUUGGGGACAGAUAUGCAGGGACAGACUGGCAGAGACAGGGAGUCUCAGGGAAAAUAAUAAACACACCCAGGACAACACUUUCCCAUUGUAAGUUGAGGAUCCGAGUGCAGGUGGAAUGAUGACUUUCUGUAGGAACAAAGACUGAAAGGAAACGGAUAAUUAUUUAGUAGCUUUAAUGGUCAAACCACAUUGAACACCAUCAGCCACCACACUAGAACUGUCUGUCACUUCCUGUCACUUCCGGUAUCAAUAAAGCUUAACCCCACACAAUUAAAGCAUUGGCCAAUAGGAAAACAGAUAAUUAGUUACCAGGCAAAGAAAUAGAUAACACAGUUAUUUCCUGUAACACAGAUUUACUAUAUUUCAGCAAUGUGUAUAACUGCCAUAUAAAUUAAAUAAUUACUCAGGAAAUAAUCCUACACCUUGUUUAAUAAAAUGUGAUUUUCA